This is a long non-coding RNA of Corythoichthys intestinalis (scribbled pipefish), 1268 nucleotides long. RefSeq lists it as uncharacterized. Lineage: Eukaryota; Metazoa; Chordata; Actinopteri; Syngnathiformes; Syngnathidae. The transcript has 4 exons. The record is from RefSeq and is a predicted model, not a curated record.
AUUGGGCUUAGUGUCGUCUGUCGCUGCUUUCUGAUCCAAAUCUUCCAAAUAUGGCUCAAACCUAUAUGGCUGUAUGUCGCAUACUUCCUCUGGAUCGACAAUAGUAUUAAAAAAUCCACAUUUUAACCAGAAUCGCUGGAAAAUGGUUGGGGCCGAACGGUAGUGAUGGUGAGUUGAAGCCCAGUGUCAUAUAUUUAGAGAGUUGCGACACUCCCAUAGGGAUCCAUUAUACGAUUUUACUUCCGGGUACUUCCGGGUUAUGGAGCCUUGGAUAGUUACAAACAUUGCAUUUGACAGGGCGGAAACCAUUAAUUUGAACGGCAGGCUGUCAAGUAUAUUCGGAGAGGCCCUUUGUGACAUACUUAUCUUCAGCACUUCUGCCUUCAGCCUCAGCAUCUCAAACACUUCGUCCAAAAUCCCAGGCUCCAUCUUUACAUGCUGCAUCCUCCUUUGCAGCGUGCGGAUGUUGGGCAGUGGAAUCUGCAUUUGCUGGAGGGCUUUAUAACCAGUAGUGCCAGCGUUGCCAUUUUGCCUGACAGCGUGGUCCCUGGCGCAUCUGGGCCUAGUGUUGUGGUGCCACCGCUGGUUCCUGAUUGGUCGGCACCCGGCUCAUCCACCCCUGGAUCACCUGGCCUGGAUACGUCAUUGUCAUUGUGCUCACUUUCGCCCAACCUUCCCACCUCAAUUUCUCCCUGAAUAUCUGUAACAAUAACAAGGCAUUCUUAAUUUUAUAUGCAGUCAGUGUUUUUACAUUUGCACCUAUUGUCAUCUCCAAAGUAAGGGUACACUACACUCCUAAAGGGAAAAAAAAAAUAACGGACAUUACUGUUACAUGAAUCAAAUCAUCUGCCACAAUCAGAAACUGCUAUGGCAUUGCCAUGUGUCAACAGUCUGGUGAUAUCAUGGAGUUGGUUCUGCUUUGCUGUUGUAUCCACCAGAAAUGUUUAGUUAUAGGUGAAAAUUAAAUGCAUAAAUAAAGCUAAAUUAUGAAGUAACUAACAAUGAAGUAGAUCGAAAUUUUGUGUGUAAAUCCCAGGACAAUUCCUGACCUCUUGUAUUUGAAGCUGAAUGUAUUAAUAUGAUAAAUGGAAAAACUACACUCCUAAUAAGAUAAUUACUUGAAUUACUUGACAUGGGAAAUGUUGUUGACAGCUGGUCUGUAUCAUACCCAAGUUUAACCUGGUGCAAUAUGUAUGGUCCGUUUGAAUUUUGGUUGGAGGCACACUCCUAAAGGGAAGUUUCCUCCUCUUUGGCUUUGAACGAUGAAU